This 892-nucleotide long non-coding RNA is filed under the name Stegodyphus dumicola. RNAcentral's name for it is "uncharacterized LOC118182816, transcript variant X2". Lineage: Eukaryota; Metazoa; Arthropoda; Arachnida; Araneae; Eresidae. The record is from RNAcentral.
UUCAACAGUUUCUGGUGGUCUGGAAUAUUCUAUAUCCAGUUGGCUAUUUGAAGACACUCCAUCUGGCGCUACUCUUUCCUUGGCUAUUCAGAUACAGAAUGAUCCGUAAGGAGUUUAUUUAAAAUAGAUUUUGCUUCACUUUCGUUUUUACCGUUUGAUCUCCAUUUCCAGCUUGUAGAGGUUGAUUUUACUUCAGUUUUAAGAUUAACUGUACAUUUGUUGGCUUUUUAAUUUUGCAUUUCUCCAUACACCAAUCUGUUGAAGAAGAUCUACCAAGAGAGUCACUUUUGUUAAAAGCUACUUAAAAUGGAAAUAAUGGAAAGAAUGAACUCAAUUGCUCUUCAGCUAGUUUUAUUUACAUCUUUUAUAUAUUUCGAAACCUCUUUUGGACAGAAAGGAGACUUUGAAAUCAAAACCCAUACAUAAAACUAUUCAGGAUUCUAUAUUAACGGUUUUAUUUUAAAAUGUUAAGAUACUGAGUUUUAAGUGAAAGCAUUACAAAUGCAUAAUUGAAUUCUUUACACUGUUGAGAAGUAAUCAUAAGAAUAAAUAGUUUCGGAUGGAAAGUUUCGAUUUGUGAUAUAAACCGUUAGAAGUGUUCUUAUUAAAUGUUUCCCUCUUGUAAAAAGUCUUUAAUCAAAACUUACUCCAAAGGCAAAUAACGUUUAUAAGAAGUUAUUUGCCUUUGGAAUACUGUUUAAUUCCGUAACAGAUAGUAUUCAUUUAUUUCCUUAACUAAUCUAACUCAUCGAUUUGCAAGUGAAGUAUUCUUAAAUUAUUUCUGAAUAUAUUUGAUGUUUUAAAGGAGAGGCUUUAUGAGUUAAAUAGUAUGCAUAUUAAUGCACUAAAAUCAUUAAUUGCUUCUGGAAGCUGAGUUUUCUCAAAUGUUUAA